CCAAUAGCGUAUAUUAAAGUUGUUGCAGUUAAAAAGCUCGUAGUUGAAUUUCGGGAUCAAUAUGUUGGUCGUGCCUCGGUACGUACUAGCUUAUUGGUUUCUCCUUUCUGAAGAACCAUGAUGUCAUUUAUUUGGUGUCGUGGGGAAUCAGGACUGUUACUUUGAAAAAAUUAGAGUGUUUAAAGCAGGCUCACGCUUGAAUACAUUAGCAUGGAAUAAUGAAAUAGGACGUUUGAUUCUAUUUUGUUGGUUUCUAGGAUCGACGUAAUGAUUAAUAGGGG
Molecule: ribosomal RNA, 281 nt
Filed under: uncultured Glomus
Lineage: Eukaryota; Fungi; Glomeromycota; Glomeromycetes; Glomerales; Glomeraceae
Description: partial 18S small subunit ribosomal RNA
Rfam family: Eukaryotic small subunit ribosomal RNA
Source: RNAcentral